CCUGUGCGUUCUGCUUGCACUGCACGUUACGACUGCAUCAGUUCGCCAUUGUUUGAUAAUAAGAUAAAAUUACCUGAGUUAAAGUUAGAAGAAUUCACAACGACGCCAUCUUGAUGUUUUCAAGUGGAGGUGACGUAUUUCCGGUUCGAGAGUGGAGCUCCACUCGCCCAUGGUCUGCAGCCAGACCCUUCUCGAUUAUUCCGCUGUUGUAGUGUUUAAGUGGAUAAAUUUACAAGAAAAUAGACAGAAGAUGAUACGGGAGAUCUGAAAGGAUGUUUAGCACCUCUUUGUGAUAAGCAGCAAUGAGAUGCUCUCGCUGCUCUGGGGUCACUGAGGAUGAAGAGACCACAGCAGCAUCUGGUCCUGAUGAGACAGUAAGAGCUGGAGUGAAGGAGCGUCUCAUCCAUGUCACUGGACCAUUUCCAGGAUGCCGCUGUGGACUCCUCCAUCCUCACAAAGCGAUUUACUAAUGAUGACAAUAGAAGGAAACAACAUGCAAGUACUGUAUAAGUCUCAGUUAGCUUAAUGCAGUACAUGUAGCAAUGUUGUUUUAUUAAAUAAUAAAUAAAAAUAAAAACAGAAUAGAAAAAGAAUAGAGCAAUCUAGUGUUGGCUUAAUUUGCAAUUUAUUUUAUUUUUUGCUUUAUUUAAAAAAAAAUAUGAAAACAAGCAGUAAAUUAACAGAGUGCAAGUGUAAAAGGGACAAGUUUUUAUUUUUAUAUUUUAUUAUAGAAUUAGAAUAGAGUGCUUAGAGUUAGAGGGUCAAAUAAAGAUGGAAGAAAUGCGUUUUUAGCCAAUUCUUGUCGAUGGCUAGGACUUAGGACCCCUUACCUGUCGACUGAUCACACACACACACACACACACACACACACACACACACACACAUAUAUAUAUAUAUAUAUAUAUAUAUAUAUAUAUAUAUAUAUUCAUUCUAACAUGCAUUUAGCCAAUUUAAGGUAAUUUUUUUCUAGAAUUUCAUUUUCGUAGUGGUCACAUUAAAUUAGUCUGUGAGCCGAUCAGUUACUGUGACUGGUUGGUUGAAUUAGAUU
Molecule: long non-coding RNA, 1048 nt
Filed under: Carassius auratus (goldfish)
Lineage: Eukaryota; Metazoa; Chordata; Actinopteri; Cypriniformes; Cyprinidae
Description: lncRNA (ENSCARG00000007215.1)
Source: RNAcentral